Molecule: ribosomal RNA, 791 nt
Filed under: uncultured Neocallimastigales
Lineage: Eukaryota; Fungi; Neocallimastigomycota; Neocallimastigomycetes; Neocallimastigales
Description: partial large subunit ribosomal RNA
Rfam family: Eukaryotic large subunit ribosomal RNA
Source: RNAcentral
UUCAGACGAUGCGUCAUGCAUAUCAAUAAGCGGAGGAAAAGAAAACUAACAAGGAUUCCCCUAGUAACGGCGAGUGAAGCGGGAAGAGCUCAAAUUUGAAAUCUUAAAGGGUUUUCCCUUUACGAAUUGUAGUUUAAAGAAGUGUUUUUCUGUUGAGGUUUUUGGUAAAAGUUCUUUGGAAUAGGACAUCAUAGAGGGUGAGAAUCCCGUAUUUGACCUUUACUUUCAACUUUGUGAUACACUUUCAAAGAGUCGGAUUGUUUGGGAAUGCAGUCCAAAAUGGGUGGUAAAUUUCAUCUAAAGCUAAAUAUUGGCGAGAGACCGAUAGCGAACAAGUACCGUGAGGGAAAGAUGAAAAGAAACUUUGAAAAGAGAGUUAAAAUAGUACGUGAAAUUGUCAAAAGGGAAGCGUUUUGACACCAGUGUUGUUUUUUCUGAAAAUCAAUUAAAGAAACUGUUUAUGCUAAGUUGUUUUAGACUUUAUCAGCUAACUGUUUUAGUUUUUGAGCUUUUCUUUAAUGCACUUUUUCAGUUAACAAGUCAACAUCAAUUUCUUUUGCUGUAAAAAAAGCUUGAGGAAGGUGGCUUGAGAUUCGUCUUAAGUGUUUUAUAGCCUCUUGCCUAUGCAGUCGGAGAGAUUGAGGUCUGCAGCGUAGAUCCUUCGGGGCUAAAUGCAUUUGUGCUAAGUUAUAGCAUUUUUAUAGACAACUUGUUGACUAUGAUUUGUCUUGUAGCUUACUCGCUUAUGUUAUUUUACCUACGCUUAGGAUGUUGAGCGCAUGUCUCUCUCU